Small nuclear RNA from Arabis alpina (gray rockcress), 186 nucleotides. It matches the Rfam family "U2 spliceosomal RNA". Rfam says of the family: U2 is a small nuclear RNA (snRNA) component of the spliceosome (involved in pre-mRNA splicing). NCBI's taxonomy places the organism in Eukaryota, Viridiplantae, Streptophyta, Magnoliopsida, Brassicales, Brassicaceae. The record is from Rfam.
AUACCUUUCUCGGCCUUUUGGCUAAGAUCAAGGGUAGUAUCUGUUCUUAUCAGUUUAAUUUCUGAUACGUGGUGCCACGUGCCCACACGAUAUAUAAACAUAUUUUUUAAGGUCGAAGGCCCCUCUAUUUGGGCUUUCGUGAGUCACCCAUACGUUGCACUUCUGUAAGGGUUUGGCUCAACCCAC